GCGGAGGACAUUACAGAGUUAUCCAACUCCCAAACCCAUGUGAACUUAUCUCUUUGUUGCCUCGGCGCAAGCUACCCGGGACCUCGCGCCCCGGGGGGCCCGCCGGCGGACAAACCAAACUCUGUUAUCUUCGUUGAUUAUCUGAGUGUCUUAUUUAAUAAGUCAAAACUUUCAACAACGGAUCUCUUGGUUCUGGCAUCGAUGAAGAACGCAGCGAAAUGCGAUAAGUAAUGUGAAUUGCAGAAUUCAGUGAAUCAUCGAAUCUUUGAACGCACAUUGCGCCCAUUAGUAUUCUAGUGGGCAUGCCUGUUCGAGCGUCAUUUCAACCCCUAAGCACAGCUUAUUGUUGGGACUCUACGGCUUCGUAGUUCCCCAAAGACAUUGGCGGAGUGGCAGCAGUCCUCUGAGCGUAGUAAUUCUUUAUCUCGCUUUUGUUAGGCGCUGCCCCCCCGGCCGUAAAACCCCCAAUUUUUUCUGGUUGACCUCGGAUCAGGUAGGAAUACCCGCUGAACUUAAGCAUAUCAAAGUGGGGAG
This 534-nucleotide ribosomal RNA is filed under the name fungal sp. P4N12. RNAcentral describes it as "eukaryotic LSU rRNA". The stretch from base 167 to 320 matches the Rfam family "5.8S ribosomal RNA". Lineage: Eukaryota; Fungi. The record is from RNAcentral.